CCUACGGGAGGCAGCAGUGAGGAAUAUUGGUCAAUGGACGCAAGUCUGAACCAGCCACGCCGCGUGCAGGAAGACGGCUCUAUGAGUUGUAAACUGCUUUUGUACGAAGGUAAACGCAGAUACGCGUAUCUGUCUGCACGUAUCGUACGAAUAAGGAUCGGCUAACUCCGUGCCAGCAGCCGCGGUAAUACGGAGGGUUCAAGCGUUAUCCGGAUUUAUUGGGUUUAAAGGGUGCGUAGGCGGUCGGAGAAGUUAGAGGUGAAAUCCCGAGGCUCAACUUCGGAAUUGCCUCUGAUACUGUUCGGCUAGAGAGUAGUUGAGGUAGGCGGAAUGCAUGGUGUAGCGGUGAAAUGCUUAGAGAUCAUACAGAACACCGAUGGCGAAGGCAGCUUACUAAGCUAUUUCUGACGUUGAGGCACGAAAGCGUGGGGAGCAAACAGGAUUAGAUACCCCAGUAGUC
Molecule: ribosomal RNA, 460 nt
Filed under: uncultured bacterium
Lineage: Bacteria
Description: partial 16S ribosomal RNA
Rfam family: Bacterial small subunit ribosomal RNA
Source: RNAcentral